CGUGGGUAACCUGCCCAAGAGAUCGGGAUAACACCUGGAAACAGAUGCUAAUACCGGAUAACAACAGAUGAUGCCUAUCAACUGUUUAAAAGAUGGUUAUGCUAUCACUCUUGGAUGGACCUGCGGUGCAUUAGCUAGUUGGUAGGGUAACGGCCUACCAAGGCGAUGAUGCAUAGCCGAGUUGAGAGACUGAUCGGCCACAUUGGGACUGAGACACGGCCCAAACUCCUACGGGAGGCAGCAGAC
Molecule: ribosomal RNA, 246 nt
Filed under: uncultured Lactobacillus sp.
Lineage: Bacteria; Bacillati; Bacillota; Bacilli; Lactobacillales; Lactobacillaceae
Description: partial 16S ribosomal RNA
Rfam family: Bacterial small subunit ribosomal RNA
Source: RNAcentral